Long non-coding RNA from Mustela lutreola (European mink), 2242 nucleotides. RefSeq lists it as uncharacterized. NCBI's taxonomy places the organism in Eukaryota, Metazoa, Chordata, Mammalia, Carnivora, Mustelidae. The transcript has 2 exons. The record is from RefSeq and is a predicted model, not a curated record.
UUUCCCGGAGUCUUCAUUAGUUGACUUCCCUGUCCACUGCUUCCCCCAGCCGGCGGAGCUCACCCCCAAUAAAGGAAGGAAGGGGGUCUUUAUUUUUUUUUAAAGGCCCCAAAGAAUCCAGUGUUUACAAGACUAGAAAUACUACGGCCUUGUCCUGGCAGAAAGAAAGGCUGAAAUGGAGGACCGAAGCCUUCCUUAUAAGCUCACUGGGGCCUGAGCCAGCACCAACCCAGUAGAAAAAGCAACCAUGAAGCCAGAGAUGGAAGAGAGCUCCAGACAGAGAUAAAAAGGAACGAUGCGGAGUAAUGCAGAGAAAGGAGGAGGCAGCAGGUCUCAGAAUGAGCAAAUGUGGCAGAGAGCAAGACAGGCACUCACAGACAGAGGUUUAUACAUUUUUAUUUACAAUUUUUAAAAAAAAAUUUGGGGCUCGAUGAAGAAAAGGGAAAAUACAGAGGAGCGGAGAGGGGAGGGAAUUAUCGGAGUUCCAGCAUGAACGCCCCAGAAGGGGAGAAGACCGGAUAAAUGCGAGCGAGGAGCGAUGCCAGAGCCGAAUUCCGGCUCCAACUCCGGACCGCCGCUGCCCCACACGCUGUGGGCUGGCCCUCGAAGCCCCCCCUCGUGGCCGCCAGGGCUUCCUUGCUCUCCUUAUCUUCUCCAUCUUUAUGACGAGGCUUGUUAACAAGACCAGCGAUCUGGCCACUCGUGUCUAUCUCAGCCGCUCCCGCUUAGCGAAGCAGCGGCCGGCUCUGGGACUGGCGAGGCACUAAUAAAUUGAUUCCUUUGGACAGUAAAAUAUGUCAGUGUCUACAUGGAACCCAUAAACAAUAUCUGUGCGGGGUAUGAGUGCAUUGCCUUUCAAAGAAAUUUUCCAUAGGGUGUGUCAGGUAGUUUCGGAUUUUUAGCUACUAAAGAAAGACCUAAGUGGGAUUCAUUUUUUUCCGGGGCUGAAACAGUUAGCUCUGUGUUCUAAAAUGCUUUAAGCUAUGAUUCCAUCUCUGAAAGCGUUAGGAGUGGAUCUUGUUGAGAAAAACUUGGGUUCCAGAAUAAACUUUCCCUGCUGCCUGUAUAGACCCGGCCAGCAUGAAGGAUGCUAACCGGCUGCUAAAGAACUGGGUGGGCCAGAAUCCUCUCCUGGGUUGGCUGAGAGGGAGUGGAGCUGCUUUGGGGUUUGAGAGGGAUGUAGAAGACCAGAUCCAGCCCUUACUUCAUGCCAUCUUUCUCCACUGGAGAUUUUAAAAAUAAAUUAAAAAAAAAAUUUAAACAAACUGUGGCUUUCAGGAACUCUGAGUGCCCAGCACACAUCUGGAACUUGCCUUUACCCCAACCUGCCUCUUACACAACUUUGCCAAGUCACUGCACUUUCCUCUCCUCCCCUCACUUCUUAACUCACAACCCAGAAUAAUGCUCUAAUAUAUUUAUCUUAGGUCUAGAAGAACAAGUCCUGAGACACAGGGCAACUUAAUUAUAUAAUGCUCAUUCCAUAUAGGCUGUGUUUACGCAGUCAGACCCUGCUGCAAACAGGACUUGGGAUUCUAAAUAUAGAUGCUGAUUUCGGCAAGAGAUGGACUAAGGAAAUCAAGAUAGAACACUUAUAUAAGUAAUCCCAUUAGACAUAGAAGGGGUUUUAAAAGACAGAAAUAAUAGAAAAACAGAAAGACAGAAAAGAGGCUCAGCUGUUGGAGACUGUCAGUGCCAAUGCCUGAGCUUCCUCCUGCUUCUGUCUGUAAGACAGCCAAAUAAAUGUGUAUUAUAAAUGCAAUACUAUGUGAGCUCAAAGAAUGUACUGCAAUGUAUUUGGUAUGCACACACCAUGUAAACAAACUAAUUUACAGAACGUAUUUUUCAUACAUUGCGUAGAUACUCAAUUUAUAUGUGUAUAAUAAUGUGAUGUAUUUUCCAUGCACUUUUUUAUGUGGACAGUUAAUAUCUGGAUGCAUUUUCCAUGCGUGAUUUUAUACGCCCUAUGGAAUAUAUACAUUUAUGUAGCUAAACAGAUGAGGACUGUAUAUUUCCUGUGUAGGAUAUACAUGCAAGUGUACUGUUUAUGUAAAUUACGUGUGGUGUCUAUCCAUGCUGUGUGUAACCUUUUCUCAGAAUGUUGCUUUCCCGUACAAAUGAGAGUGCCUUUGUAUGUAUGUUUUAUAGAGAAAUAUAUUUUCCAUGCCCAGUAUGUACAUGUAAUAGAGCUAUCUGUGCAUUUUAGACUGUUUCAAUAUAUCUGUUAUGUUGGCAUUCCCGCCAA